GAGAGAGAUAUGCAGAGAGAUUUUGCCUACUUACUUACACAGACCCAUUUAAGAGGCAAACUACAAAACAAAGCAUGAGCUAAUAAUAAUACACAGAGAGAGAGAGAGAUCUUCUGGAAGAAUAGAGCUAUCAGAAAGUACCCAAGUAUUGUCUUUAAAGCUCUGAUCUGCGAAGAAGACAGUAUUAGGCUUGCUUUUACUUUGUCUUUGGGCAAAAUGGUAUGUGUAAAGAAGAGAAUAAACAGCCCACGGAUCAUGAAAAUUGAUGGUUGCAGCAGAAGAGAGAAAGAGGAAGAAAAGAAAAUUGAACUUAAACUAUUUGGUUUUGUUUUAUUACCUGAUAUGGGGUUGAGGUGAAUUAGGGUUUU
RNAcentral lists this unclassified non-coding RNA (368 nucleotides) under Hevea brasiliensis (rubber tree). The record is from RNAcentral. Lineage: Eukaryota; Viridiplantae; Streptophyta; Magnoliopsida; Malpighiales; Euphorbiaceae.